ACCUGCGGAAGGAUCAUUAUUGAAAUAAACCUGAUGGGUUGUUGCUGGCUCUCUAGGGAGCAUGUGCACACCUUGUCAUCUUUAUAUCUCCACCUGUGCACUUUUUGUAGACCUUUCAGGUCUAUGUUGCUUCAUUUACCCCAAUGUAUGUUAAUAGAAUAGUUGUGCCUAUAUAAUAUAUACAACUUUCAGCAACGGAUCUCUUGGCUCUCGCAUCGAUGAAGAACGCAGCGAAAUGCGAUAAGUAAUGUGAAUUGCAGAAUUCAGUGAAUCAUCGAAUCUUUGAACGCACCUUGCGCUCCUUGGUAUUCCGAGGAGCAUGCCUGUUUGAGUGUCAUUAAUAUAUCAACCUUCUCUUUAUUGAGUUGUUUGGAUGUGGGGGUUUGCUGGCCUCUUAAAUGAUUCAGCUCCCCUGAAAUGCAUUAGCAGAACAACCUGUUCAUUGGCGUGAUAAUUAUGCUAUGCUAUUGAAUGUGAGGGCAGUUCAGCUUUCUAACCGUCACUAGGAC
RNAcentral lists this ribosomal RNA (509 nucleotides) under Cortinarius minutulus. RNAcentral describes it as "eukaryotic LSU rRNA". The stretch from base 184 to 337 matches the Rfam family "5.8S ribosomal RNA". The record is from RNAcentral. Lineage: Eukaryota; Fungi; Basidiomycota; Agaricomycetes; Agaricales; Cortinariaceae.